AUUGAACGCUGGCGGCAGGCCUAACACAUGCAAGUCGAGCGGAGCGGCGGACGGGCGGGUAAUGCCUAGGAAUCGGCCUGGCAGUGGGGGAGAACGUCCGGCAACGGGCGCUAAUACCGCAUACUAUCAGACGGGUCUAGGUCGGAUUAGCUAGGUGGUGGGGUAAAGGCCUACCAAGGCGACGAUCCGUAACUGGUCUGAGAGGAUGAUCAGUCACACUGGGACUGAGACACGGUCCAGACUCCUACGGGAGGCAGCAGUGGGGAAUAUUGGACAAUGGGCGAAAGCCUGAUGCAGCCAUGCCGCGUGUAUGAAGAAGGUCUUCGGAUUGUAAAGCACUUUAAGUUGGGAGGCGUUACCGACAGAAUAAGCACCGGCUAACUUCGUGCCAGCAGCCGCGGUAAUAC
This 407-nucleotide ribosomal RNA is filed under the name uncultured bacterium. RNAcentral describes it as "partial 16S ribosomal RNA". It matches the Rfam family "Bacterial small subunit ribosomal RNA", at positions 30 to 526 of the family's 1533-position model. The record is from RNAcentral.